Molecule: long non-coding RNA, 1059 nt
Filed under: Diabrotica virgifera virgifera (western corn rootworm)
Lineage: Eukaryota; Metazoa; Arthropoda; Insecta; Coleoptera; Chrysomelidae
Description: uncharacterized LOC126882767
Source: RNAcentral
GUUCUAUUUUUUCAUUUAUUUGGCGUGAAUUCAGUGUCACCAACCUGUGUCCAUUUGGCGGGAAGUGGAAGUAGAGCUUUUUGUUUAUUAUUAUUUGUUGAGGUUGAGUCGUUCAUGUUAUGACAACCUAAAAAUUUUGAUUGGAAAAUGCAUAUAAGAUAAGGGGGUGGGAAAAUGGAAAUUAGUGGCUUUUUUUGCAGUUCUGUCUGUUAGUUUUGCGUUUUGCUCUGGCUGGGUCUCUUUUGUUUAAACAAUUAUAAUCAGCUGAAAGUGGUCUACAAAAAAACUAGGAAGGAAACGUAUUAUAGCCUUGUUGUGGCUAUGAAAGGCAAAAGAAAGAUACCUAUAAAAAGUGUAUUGACUAGUUGGAAGAAACUCCACAUUGUCGAUGCAUAAUAAGAUAUUACUUUAUAAACAAAUAUUAAGACCUAGGAAUGGAACCUGGAUAAUAUAAUCAUCAAGAAGAUAGCAUGAAGUCAUGACUUCAUAAGUAUGAGAAUAUUGAGAAAAUCCAGCUCAUCGAUAUCUACUACUGGACAAACUAGAAGAUUGAAGAGGACAAAGCCUUUUGAACUAGUUUGAGUGAUAGGUGAUAGUGAAAAGCAGAGCGUAGUGCUUGUGUGCCUGUGUAUGUUAGAAUAGUGCACAAUCUUGUUAGAUUAGAUAAGAGACGCUAUGGGGUAAGCUCUUCAUUUUAAUGAACAGUAGUAAUUUAGGUUAAAUUAAAAUUGCUCAUUGGUCAGUUAUGACCAGAUUGUAAUUCUCUGAUGUUUGGCAAAAAGGGCUUAAGUCAGAAUUGCACAUCAAUAAUGUUUUGAUGAUUUCUCGACCAGAAAAAAAGUGUUGCAGACUUAAACUGUAUGUACCAAUAAAAAGAGCCAAUUUUUCUGGUCCAGAAAUCAUCAAAACAUUAUCGAUGUGCAAUUCUGACUUAAGCCCUUUUUCCCAAACAUCAGAGAAUUGCAAUGUACAAUUCAAUACAAAUGAAUCAUCAUCGUAGUGAUGAUUAUGGAAAAAAAUAUAUGACAAGAUUUUGUGCAAUAAAAAUGUUUAUAUUUA